Long non-coding RNA from Vespa mandarinia (Asian giant hornet), 698 nucleotides. Lineage: Eukaryota; Metazoa; Arthropoda; Insecta; Hymenoptera; Vespidae. The record is from RefSeq and is a predicted model, not a curated record.
UUGGAGCUUCCAUAGAAGAGGUAGGGGUGGAAAAACCCAUCUGAACCGGGCAGGUCGCCCUCAACGAACGAAGCGAUUCGAUAAGGAUAGAGUUUGAAUAUAGAGUUAACAUGGUUAUACCAUGAAUUUAAGAAGUAUAUUUGGAAAAUCGAUCUAUAUAAUGUAAUGAAGAAAUCUCGACCUUGAUUUAUUGCUUUUGUUUUUAAUGCUGCCUUUAGUCAUCUUAUCGUCAUGUUUUGAAUAAUAACGAUUUUUAUUGAAACGUACAUAGAAUGAAAGAAAUUUAAAACGAUCUGCUUUGAUCGAUAAUCCUUUUAAAUGUUAUAUCGAUACGUUAUAAAGAAAAUGAUAUAUAUGUAUAUAGAUAUGUGACGAAUAGCUUUUUUUUUUAAUAAUUAGAAGAACAAAAUGUAACAGUUAAACUGACGAGAAACAGAAUAAGAAACGAGAACAGAAUAAUGCACAAAUCACAAUGUAUAAAUACGAAAAUUGUAAUUGAAUUAUUGAUAUAAUCUGUCGUUUGAGUUUAGAUUGCAUUUAUUAAAUCCAGAUAUCUGUUCAGAGAAAAAUUUUUAACUUUCACGAGACACGUAAAGGAAUCAAUACGGGUUAAUAAAAUAACACUAAAAUAAGUAAUCGCACUUUGGAUUAUCUUAUAUCUCAUUAACGUCAAUUAUUAAAUCUGAUUAUACAGCUAA